GAUGCUUCUCCUUUCUUCUGCGUGUUUGCAUGUUAAAAUUUCCCUGUCGAGAUCUUCCAGACUGCGCCUGCCCAUAAGCCAUGAUUUAAUCAACUCAAGCUCGCAGUGAUCCCCUGUCACCCAAACCACCAUGAAGACAGGCCUGACGGGGAACACGGGUCGCUGACGCUAAUUGUGUUGCACACUGGGAGCAAACAGCCAAUGGCUCCGUUGUUUGAGCACGGCUCCAGACGCUAGUGUGUGUUUACACAGCGGGCCCCUGGGAGGCCUCGGCGCUGUCCGCUGCGGUUUGUAAACUUUCUAAAUCCUGUUUUCCACCAAUUUACAACAGCUCGCCAAUUACCCCCGUGCUUUAGCACAGCCCUUUCAUGGUCCACGCUUCCUGUGAUAAUCUCGGGGAGGUGAGGUGGGGUGGGGGGGUGGGUGGACAUAUGAUAACACGUGCCAGUUGAGGAAUAAAAUGUCUGCUUCGGUCUGAAGGCGGUAUUCAAUGCAGCGCAGCAUGGUGGAGUCUGCUGCUGCUGCUGCUGCUGGUGGUGACCUGCCCAAGAUGGCCUGUGAGAGGACCCAGUCAGUUCCCUCUAAGUCCACUACUCUACAGCCUAAGAACUUAAGUUCCCUCUAAGGCCACAACUCUACAGCCUAGGAACUUAAGUUCCCUCUAAGUCCACUACUCUACAGCCUAAGAACUUAAGUUCCCUCUAAGGCCACAACUCUACUGCCUAAGAACUUAAGUUCCCUCUAAGGCCACAACUCUACGGCCUAAGAACUUAAGUUCCCUCUACGGCCUAAGAACUUAAGUACCCUCUAAGUCCCACUAAUAUACUGCCUAAGAUCUGAAUUCUUUUUUUUUUUACACUGAUAGCAUGAUCUGAAUCUGAAUAAUAAACAUUAUAUGAAGUUAUUACUCAUUCCAGCCACUAUCUUUGGUCAAUUGAUGGUUUUAAAUAGAUUUUCAAACAGAGUUAAUUGAGUUUUAAAUAGAGUUCAUCGAGACCUUUCUUUGUGUGUGUGUUUUAGGUAUGUUAGGGAAUGGGCUCACGGACCCAAU
Clupea harengus (Atlantic herring) is the source of this 1051-nucleotide long non-coding RNA. Lineage: Eukaryota; Metazoa; Chordata; Actinopteri; Clupeiformes; Clupeidae. The record is from Ensembl.